This is a long non-coding RNA of Daucus carota subsp. sativus, 863 nucleotides long. RefSeq lists it as uncharacterized. NCBI's taxonomy places the organism in Eukaryota, Viridiplantae, Streptophyta, Magnoliopsida, Apiales, Apiaceae. The transcript has 2 exons. The record is from RefSeq and is a predicted model, not a curated record.
AAAACACGAAAGUCGUCGUAGAGAACGAAAAGACCUUUCUGAAAAGGUAUGGCUCAUCAAAAUCGGAGUUAUAACGAAUCGGGAAUUAAAUAAAACGUCCGCUGAUUUAGAACUCAAAGAAUAAACAGAUCUGAUUAAGUUUUUCUUCUUCUUUUUUUUACCAUUUUAAAUUUUGCAAAAUUUAAAAAUAUAUAGGUGUUUUCUAAAAAUUUGCUUAGUGCCCCAUAAAGUUCGAAUCCUAGAUCGGUCCCGGUGUAGAUGGAAUAUUCAUGUAUAUAUCACCAAUAUGAGCAGUUUUGCUAGCUAGAGAGUAACAAAAGCAUUACUCAAUGCUGUGGCAUAGGUAUGAAAUCUCAGCGCUUUCGGUGGCUCUUAUCCCUUUUAUCUUUCAUGAAGGGAGCAAAAAGAUCAGCAAAACUAACGUUUACUAUUUUUGUGAUGGAUUUGCUACUAGUUGGGAUCGUAGCAGCAGCAGCAGGAGCAGGAGGAGAAGCUGCUUACAUAGGACUCAGAGGAAACAAAGCUGCAAAAUGGCCCAAGAUCUGCACUGUCUAUGAUACCUUUUGUCUCCAUGUCGGAUUCUCUUGUCUCAUUUCAAGCUUUGCAGCCAUGACACUAAUAUCGCUUAUUGUUCUCUAUGUUUUUACCCUUUUACCUUGAUCAGAACUACUGAUAUACUUCUAAACCAGCCAGGUGGCCUGUUUCUUUAUGCUAUAUGCCGUGUAUCUUUACAUCAUGUUGCUUUUCCUUUAUUUUUUAACAUUUUAGCCUUCAGUUAUGUUCUAAUGAUAUUUUGAUUUGAGGUGGUUGUGUGAAAGUUCUUGUACAACUCAUUUUAUUCCAUAAAUAACUUGAAUAAUAUA